UACGUAGGGGGCGAGCGUUGUCCGGAUUCAUUGGGCGUAAAGAGCUCGUAGGCGGCUUGGCAAGUCGGGUGUGAAACCUCCAGGCUCAACCUGGAGACGCCACCCGAUACUGCCAUGGCUAGAGUCCGGUAGGGGACCACGGAAUUCCUGGCGUAGCGGUGAAAUGCUUAGAUAUCGGGUGGAACACCAGUGGCGAAGGCGCUGCUCUGGGCCGGUACUGACGCUGAGGAGCGAAAGCGUGGGUAGCAAACAGG
Molecule: ribosomal RNA, 254 nt
Filed under: uncultured bacterium
Lineage: Bacteria
Description: partial 16S ribosomal RNA
Rfam family: Bacterial small subunit ribosomal RNA
Source: RNAcentral